This 497-nucleotide ribosomal RNA is filed under the name uncultured bacterium. Its description in RNAcentral is "partial 16S ribosomal RNA". It matches the Rfam family "Bacterial small subunit ribosomal RNA", at positions 28 to 507 of the family's 1533-position model. The record is from RNAcentral.
GAUGAACGCUGGCGGCGUGCCUAAUACAUGCAAGUCGAGCGAACAGACGAGGAGCUUGCUCCUCUGACGUUAGCGGCGGACGGGUGAGUAACACGUGGAUAACCUACCUAUAAGACUGGGAUAACUUCGGGAAACCGGAGCUAAUACCGGAUAACAUGUUGAACCGCAUGGUUCAACAGUGAAAGACGGUUUUGCUGUCACUUAUAGAUGGAUCCGCGCUGCAUUAGCUAGUUGGUAAGGUAACGGCUUACCAAGGCAACGAUGCGUAGCCGACCUGAGAGGGUGAUCGGCCACACUGGAACUGAGACACGGUCCAGACUCCUACGGGAGGCAGCAGUAGGGAAUCUUCCGCAAUGGGCGAAAGCCUGACGGAGCAACGCCGCGUGAGUGAAGAAGGUCUUCGGAUCGUAAAACUCUGUUAUUAGGGAAGAACAAAUGUGUAAGUAACUAUGCACGUCUUGACGGUACCUAAUCAGAAAGCCACGGCUAACUACGUG